GUGAACGCUGGCGGUAGGCCUAACACAUGCAAGUCGAACGGCAGCACAGUAAGAGCUUGCUCUUACGGGUGGCGAGUGGCGGACGGGUGAGGAAUACAUCGGAAUCUACUUUUUCGUGGGGGAUAACGUAGGGAAACUUACGCUAAUACCGCAUACGACCUACGGGUGAAAGCAGGGGAUCUUCGGACCUUGCGCGAUUGAAUGAGCCGAUGUCGGAUUAGCUAGUUGGCGGGGUAAAGGCCCACCAAGGCGACGAUCCGUAGCUGGUCUGAGAGGAUGAUCAGCCACACUGGAACUGAGACACGGUCCAGACUCCUACGGGAGGCAGCAGUGGGGAAUAUUGGACAAUGGGCGCAAGCCUGAUCCAGCCAUACCGCGUGGGUGAAGAAGGCCUUCGGGUUGUAAAGCCCUUUUGGUGGGAAAGAAAAGCAGCAGGUUAAUACCCCGCUGUUCUGACGGUACCCAAAGAAUAAGCACCGGCUAACUUCGUG
RNAcentral lists this ribosomal RNA (491 nucleotides) under uncultured bacterium. RNAcentral describes it as "partial 16S ribosomal RNA". It matches the Rfam family "Bacterial small subunit ribosomal RNA", at positions 29 to 507 of the family's 1533-position model. The record is from RNAcentral.